RNAcentral lists this ribosomal RNA (392 nucleotides) under uncultured bacterium. RNAcentral describes it as "bacterial SSU rRNA". It matches the Rfam family "Bacterial small subunit ribosomal RNA", at positions 29 to 398 of the family's 1533-position model. The record is from RNAcentral.
AGCGAACGCUGGCGGCGUGCUUAACACAUGCAAGUCGAGCGAAGGUGUUUCAAGGGUAACCUUGAGAUACACUUAGCGGCGGACGGGUGAGUAAUACGUGGAUAACUUACCUCUAGGCCUGGGAUAACCCCGGGAAACUGGGGCUAAUACCUGAUAAGACCACAUUGUCUACGGACAAAGGGGUAAAAGGUGGCUGUGCAAACAGCUAUCGCCAAAAGAUAGGUUCACGUCCCAUCAGGCAGUUGGUGAGGUAAUGGCUCACCAAACCAAAGACGGGUAGCCGGCCUUGGCGGGUGAACGGCCACACGGGGACUGAGACACGGCCCCGACUCCUACGGGAGGCAGCAGUGGGGAAUAUUGGGCAAUGGGCGCAAGCCUGACCCAGCGACGUC